AGUGAACGCUGGCGGUAGGCCUAACACAUGCAAGUCGAACGGCAGCACAGUAAGAGCUUGCUCUUACGGGUGGCGAGUGGCGGACGGGUGAGGAAUACAUCGGAAUCUACUUUUUCGUGGGGGAUAACGUAGGGAAACUUACGCUAAUACCGCAUACGACCUACGGGUGAAAGCAGGGGAUCUUCGGACCUUGCGCGAUUGAAUGAGCCGAUGUCGGAUUAGCUAGUUGGCGGGGUAGAGGCCCACCAAGGCAACGAUCCGUAGCUGGUCUGAGAGGAUGAUCAGCCACACUGGAACUGAGACACGGUCCAGACUCCUACGGGAGGCAGCAGUGGGGAAUAUUGGACAAUGGGCGCAAGCCUGAUCCAGCCAUACCGCGUGGGUGAAGAAGGCCUUCGGGUUGUAAAGCCCUUUUGUUGGGAAAGAAAAGCAGCAGGUUAAUACCCCGCUGUUCUGACGGUACCCAAAGAAUAAGCACCGGCUAACUUCGUG
This 492-nucleotide ribosomal RNA is filed under the name uncultured bacterium. RNAcentral describes it as "partial 16S ribosomal RNA". It matches the Rfam family "Bacterial small subunit ribosomal RNA", at positions 29 to 507 of the family's 1533-position model. The record is from RNAcentral.